UAAUCGCGCAUCAGCCAUGGCGCGGUGAAUACGUUCCCGGGCCUUGUACACACCGCCCGUCAAGCCAUGGAAGCCGGGAGUGCCUGAAGUGUGCAACCGCAAGGAGCGCCCUAAGGUAAAACUGGUGACUGGGGCUAAGUCGUAACAAGGUAGC
This 154-nucleotide ribosomal RNA is filed under the name uncultured bacterium. RNAcentral's name for it is "partial 16S ribosomal RNA". It matches the Rfam family "Bacterial small subunit ribosomal RNA", at positions 1339 to 1500 of the family's 1533-position model. The record is from RNAcentral.